Ostrea edulis (European flat oyster) is the source of this 4251-nucleotide RNA transcript. RefSeq lists it as uncharacterized. The transcript has 3 exons. The record is from RefSeq and is a predicted model, not a curated record. NCBI's taxonomy places the organism in Eukaryota, Metazoa, Mollusca, Bivalvia, Ostreida, Ostreidae.
CAUUGAUGGCGAAACUUUUUCCUUAUAUUAUUUAUAUUAGUUAGUACCGGGUAACCCGUAUUGUACCUCUGAACAUUAAACCCCGUCGGGAACCCCUAUUCAACAUUAGCACAGUUUGUAUCUGAACCAAUGAAAACUUGUGUAUAGAUCACGUGUCUACUUCUGUUAGAAAGUUUUGAUUGUUUGGACUUGUAGAAAGCGUGUUGAAAUUUGAGAAAUCCAGUAAUUUUUAUAGUUUGUGCAUUGGAGAUUUGCACUAAGUGUAAGUGACUUGCAGUUUUGUUUUGUUAACUAGUACAUGUUAACAUCCUCGUGGGUUGAAUCAUUGGUACAGAAACUUUGUGCACUCGUUCAGCAGACGCGUCGCGUCAGUGACGAUGGCGGAUUAAACGUGCAAGGCGAUAGUGAUAGGACAUUCAUAUGUGCGCCGUUUGGAUGUUUAUUUGCAACGUCACAACAUAAUGAACUUACGUUUGGACAACGAAAAAUUCCAAGUUUCAUUACGGGGAAAGGGAGGUUUAUGUCUUAGACAUAUUCGUUUCAAUGCAAAAAUUCUGCACUUUGACACAACCCCCGAUAUAUGUUUCAUGCAUAUCGGUGAAAAUGACAUAUCGCCCCGUAGCGAACCAGGGAAAAUUUCAGAGGACAUUUUUUCGCAGACUUGUUAUCUGCGCGACGGAGUUGGCGUAAAACAAGUUAUCGUUUGCCAGUUGUUGCGUCGGCUGCCAUAUGCGUCCUGUCCACGGUUUAACGAGAUGGUACAGUCAGUGAACCACUUGCUGAAAGAAAAGUUAUCGGACGUACAAGGGAUUGUGUUUUGGCCACACCGUGGAUUCUGGGAGUCACUGUCAUACAUCUGCCCAGAUGGAGUACACCUGCUAUGUACUCAAGCCAAUGAUCAGUCCAUGAGGAAGUUUCUGUGGAGUAUAAGCAACGCUAUAAUUAUUAACGCCAAAUAUCUCAGCAAACAUGCCAAAGGGCAAAGCCACUUCAAGGAAGCGACCAGCUUCACCCCGGCCCGCUCCAAAGAAGUCCAGUCGUCACAGUGUAGCACCACACAACCCGUCUGUGGAACAAGAGCCUGCAGAGUUGACACCCACCAUAGACUAUGAAAAACUGGCGAGACACAUCGUCCAGGAGCAAGCACGGGCCCAAAAUGCAAACGUUCCCUCAGAACAGACGUCUCCCAAUUCACGGCACCAAAUGGAUGGGACUUGCUAGGACAUACCCACCACUUCCAACCAAGCCAUUUCGAGUGACAAUGUCACCACCAUCCUUGACGCAGUAUUUCAGGGCAGCUUGGCAGCUAGCACCGGAUCUGGAGGAAUGUCAGAUACUCAUCCCACACUCUCUUCUACACAUUUAGCACAUGGAGCACGGACACUUAUCAGCAUCCUUGGCAUUAUCAACUCAAUUAGCGUACCGGCGAUCAUGGCAACUCUUGCAAACAUUUCAAGGUCAGAUAGCUUUACCCUUGCGUGUGGUUGACAUAUCCAACUUUAUACUCCACUUGCAUUCAUCCCAUUUUAGUGCAAGUACAGUUUCUUCCCAUUUUUCUGCCAUAGGUUAUGUACACAAGAUACUUGCAUUACCGGACCCUACACAGCUGUUUAUUGUGAAAAAGAUACUAAGGGGUUAUCACAGGUUGUCUCCCACAGUGGAUUCACGCCUGCCAAUUGCCAGAUAUAUCUUGCUUCAGAUUAUCAAGGCUAUACCCCACACCAUUUCUGUUUUGGAUUAUCGUAUCAUGUUAGAAGCCCUUUUCUCUAUUUGUUUUCAUGCUUUCCUUAGAUUGGUGAGGUCACAGUAAAACAAGGCAUUACAUCAGAUAAAGUCAUUCACCUUCAAGAUGUAGAGUUUCAAUACAAUGGUUCCAUUCCCUCCAGAGUGCAAUUAGUAUUGCGCUAUUUCAAAACCCAAAAAAUGAAUAAGCCUGUCACAAUUUGUGUAGAGGGCUUCCCCACACUGGACCAUUGCCCCGUCAAAUCAUUACACCGUUAUCUGUCGCAUUCAGGUCAUACAUCUGGUCCACUUUUUCAAUAUAGAGAUGGUUCUCCGAUUACGUACAAUUAUGUUUCCAAAGAACUUUCAAACAUCAUUAAGUAUGUGAGUCUCAAUCCUGCACUAUACAAAGGUCACAGUUUUCGCAUUGGGGCAGCAACAUAUGCAGCACAAAAAAGGUACUCGGAGAAUUAUAUCCAACAAUUAGGUCGCUGGAACAAUAAUGCCUUGAAACGCUAUAUUCGCAUACCUACACUUUCUCUUUGAUCACUUCACCUCUCCUGAAUCAGCCCAUUCGUUGGUGAAGUUCAAAUAUUUUAUGCAGGUCCGUGUUUAACUGCUGCAUCAAGUUGUUGGCUCAUUUCACUCAUUGCCUGUACCCGGUUUCUUUCUAUACAGGCCCAUUUUUCACCAUAUAUAACUUUUACCAAAAAUGCCAGUGUCCUACUACCCAAAAAAUGGGGUUUACCAUGCACGUCAGUGUUUAAGUGUCGCAAUUAUGAGGUCAUUAUGCAGGUCAGUGUUUAACCGCUGCAACAACGGGGGUUACCAUGCAGGUCAGUGUUUAACUGCUGCAAGAAUGGGGUCACCAUGCAGGUCAGUAUUUAACUGCUGCAACAAUGGGGUCACCAUGCAGGUCAAUGUUUAACUGCUGUAACAACGGGGGCUACCAUGCAGGUCAGUUUUUAACUGCUGUGGAAAAAACCCCAAUCCAUUUCCCUUCCCACUUUAAAGUACCUGUUUUAGGCAUAUUUGCGUGCUGACUCACCAACAGGGUCCAACCAUUAAUUACCUCCGUUAUGGUUGAAUUGUAGUUAAGUUUUUCACAACUUAUGUAUAUAAAUGUUUGAAUUUGUUACACAAUUUACAAGACAGCUCACCUUGGAUGGCUCUGAAUAUGAUUUGUUAAUCAUAUCUUUGGCCCUUUUUGUUCGCCAUCUUUUUGCUUGUUGUACACUUUGGAACAAGUUUCCAAGGUCUGUAUUUUAACUAGUCAUUGUUUGUUAUUUGUGAUAAUCAUGUAUGGGGAAAAUCAGGACAGAUGUGUUGAAAUCCUAUGUAAUUACAUUGUAUGUAUCUACUGAUUUUCCCCUGGUUGAACUGGUCAGUACCAUAUUUAUCUGUGAAAUUAUCUAUAUGGGAGAAAUCAGAAAUGAUGGGUUUAUAUAUUGUGCAAGAUUAUGACAGUGUCUGUGGAUCGCUGAUGUCCCCCCUUCUUUGUAUUAACCUUUAUCUUCGUCAUUUGUUGUCUAAAAUAAAUGACAUAUUUCAUUCUCAUACAGUUUUACAGUGUUGAUUUUUAAAGCAAAAACAAGCUUCGGUGAGCUGUCCUCUUGAAAAGGAAAUAGUAUGAGACAUAAAAUAUAUAGUAUGUAUAUAAUAACAUUUAUGGCGAAACUUUUUCCUUAUAUUAUUUAUAUUAGUUAGUACCGGGUAACUCGCAUUGUACCUCUGAACAUUAAACCCCGUCGGGAACCCCUAUUCAACAUUAGCACAGUUUGUAUCUGAACCAAUGAAAACUUGUGUAUAGAUCACGUGUCUACUUCUGUUAGAAAGUUUUGAUUGUUUGGACUUGUAGAAAGCGUGUUGAAAUUUGAGAAAUCCAGUAACCCACCACCUCCCCAUCUUAAAUUCCACCUAUAUAUAUAAAAAUGUAGCUUAAUUAUUCGUCAUCUUAUUGUAGCCCUUUUUGUUCGCCAUCUUUUUGCUUGUUGUACACUUUGGAACAAGUUUCCAAGGUCUGUAUUUUAACUAGUCAUUGUUUGUUAUUUGUGAUAAUCAUGUAUGGGGAAAAUCAGUAGAUACAUACAAUGUAAUAACAUAGGAUUUCAACACAUCUGUCCUGAUUUUCCCCUGGUUGAACUGGUCAGUACCAUAUUUAUUUGUGAAAUUAUCUAUAUGGGGGUAAUCAGAAAUGAUGGGUUGAUAUAUUGUGCAAGAUUAUGACAGUGUUCGUGGAUCGCUGAUUUCCCCCCUUCUUUGUAUAAACCUUUAUCUUCGUCAUUUGUUGUCUAAAAUAAAUGACAUAUUUCAUUCUCAUACACUUUUACAGUGUUGAUUUUUAAAGUAAAAACAAGCUUAGGUGAGCUAUCCUCUUGAAAAGGAAAUAGUAUGAGACAUAAAUAGAUAUCAUGAUAUAUUGGGUUUUAACGUUUGCUGGUUUCUUUAUAAUUUAUUUUGUUUUAUUUUGAGGAAAGAAAAUGUAGAUUUCAUUUUUUUUAAACGUAAGAUUAAAGCAAAAUUAAAGAU